This 125-nucleotide small RNA is filed under the name Marmota monax (woodchuck). The record is from RNAcentral. Lineage: Eukaryota; Metazoa; Chordata; Mammalia; Rodentia; Sciuridae.
GCCAGGUGCGGUGGCGCACACCUGUAAUACCAGUGGCUCAGGAGGCUGAGGCAGGAGGAUCACAAGCUAAAAGCCAGCCUCAGCAACAGCAAGGCGCUAAGCAACUCACUGAGACCCUGUCUCUA